This 892-nucleotide long non-coding RNA is filed under the name Prunus dulcis (almond). RNAcentral describes it as "sRNA ncRNA". The record is from RNAcentral. Lineage: Eukaryota; Viridiplantae; Streptophyta; Magnoliopsida; Rosales; Rosaceae.
UUUUAUAUUGCAAUUGAGUAGUAUGAAAUCGUGUGCAUGAAUGUGAACUUUAAUUUUGCAAUGGUACUAUCUUGUGAAAGUUUGCUAUAUGAAGAAUUGGGUCAUUUAAAAAAGCCAACAAUCUGUAUGAAGAUAGGAUUCUUGAAGGUCAUCCUUCACUGGAGAAAUCACUGAUAGAUUUCUCAGAGGUAUAUAUAACUCAGCAAACUUCAAGCUCAGCUCUUAAAAGAUGUAUAUCAUAAUUUUUUUUUUCUUCUAUUAAAAAAUGUAUAUCAUACUGUAGUUUUACAUUUAUCCACUCUAUUUGUUGUAGUGCAUGUAAAUGUAUGUGUAUGAUACUUGUAGUGCAUGUAAAUAUGUCUGAACUUGUUUUGGUAUUGGUUUCUGAAUCUGUUUUGGUAUUGGUUUUGGUUAUGAAUUUUGGAAUUGGUUUCUGUUUUGAAAUUGGUUUCAGUUGUGAUUGAAUGUUAUGUUUUUGUUUCCAUUGUGAUUGAAUGAUUUGCUUCUAAUAUGCAUUUUUGAUCCGUUUUAUACAGAUGGAAGAUUGUCUUGAUUCAAGUGGCAGCGUUCUCUUGGGGAGGAAAUUGCUAACUUUCAGCUAAAAUUCAGUUAUAAGAGAAGAUGUCGAAUUUUGCUGAUAGAUAUAAAAUGUGUUAAAAUUCUCGACCAAGAGCAAAUGUAAAAUUUUUGUUUUUUGCCAUUUUCUUAUGUAUAUUUUAAGAUAUAAUGAGAUAACAUAAUUAGUUCAUCAAUUUAUGAAAGUCAAGUUAGAAGGAAAUUUGUCAAUCUCUAGUUUCCAUGGUUUUAUCGUUCCCCUUGCAAAGAAGAAAAAAAUACAAAUGUAACCAAAUUAGUGAUUCAAUUGGCAAAUGCCAUGACAGAUAUGUAUUGC